RNAcentral lists this ribosomal RNA (341 nucleotides) under Enterobacter cloacae subsp. cloacae. RNAcentral's name for it is "bacterial SSU rRNA". It matches the Rfam family "Bacterial small subunit ribosomal RNA", at positions 1 to 338 of the family's 1533-position model. The record is from RNAcentral. Lineage: Bacteria; Pseudomonadati; Pseudomonadota; Gammaproteobacteria; Enterobacterales; Enterobacteriaceae.
UUAAAUUGAAGAGUUUGAUCAUGGCUCAGAUUGAACGCUGGCGGCAGGCCUAACACAUGCAAGUCGAACGGUAGCACAGAGAGCUUGCUCUCGGGUGACGAGUGGCGGACGGGUGAGUAAUGUCUGGGAAACUGCCUGAUGGAGGGGGAUAACUACUGGAAACGGUAGCUAAUACCGCAUAAUGUCGCAAGACCAAAGAGGGGGACCUUCGGGCCUCUUGCCAUCAGAUGUGCCCAGAUGGGAUUAGCUAGUAGGUGGGGUAACGGCUCACCUAGGCGACGAUCCCUAGCUGGUCUGAGAGGAUGACCAGCCACACUGGAACUGAGACACGGUCCAGACUC